GGUUAAGCGACUAAGCGUACACGGUGGAUGCCCUGGCAGUCAGAGGCGAUGAAGGACGUGCUAAUCUGCGAAAAGCGCCGGCGAGGUGAUAUGAACCUUUGACCCGGCGAUGUCCGAAUGGGGAAACCCAGUGUGUUCCGACACACUAUCGUUAACUGAAUACAUAGGUUAACGAGGCGAACCGGGGGAACUGAAACAUCUAAGUACCCCGAGGAAAAGAAAUCAACCGAGAUUCCCCCAGUAGCGGCGAGCGAACGGGGAGCAGCCCAGAGUCUGAAUCAGCUUGUGUGUUAGUGGAACGGUCUGGAAAGUCCGGCGAUACAGGGUGAUAGCCCCGUACACGAAAGCACACUUGCUGUGAACUCGAAGAGUAGGGCGGGACACGUGGUAUCCUGUCUGAAUAUGGGGGGACCAUCCUCCAAGGCUAAAUACUCCUGACUGACCGAUAGUGAACCAGUACCGUGAGGGAAAGGCGAAAAGAACCCCGGCGAGGGGAGUGAAAAAGAACCUGAAACCGUGUACGUACAAGCAGUGGGAGCACCUUCGUGGUGUGACUGCGUACCUUUUGUAUAAUGGGUCAGCGACUUAUAUUCUGUAGCAAGGUUAACCGUAUAGGGGAGCCGAAGGGAAACCGAGUCUUAACUGGGCGUUAAGUUGCAGGGUAUAGACCCGAAACCCGGUGAUCUAGCCAUGGGCAGGUUGAAGGUUGGGUAACACUAACUGGAGGACCGAACCGACUAAUGUUGAAAAAUUAGCGGAUGACUUGUGGCUGGGGGUGAAAGGCCAAUCAAACCGGGAGAUAGCUGGUUCUCCCCGAAAGCUAUUUAGGUAGCGCCUCGUGAACUCAUCUUCGGGGGUAGAGCACUGUUUCGGCUAGGGGGCCAUCCCGGCUUACCAACCCGAUGCAAACUACGAAUACCGAAGAAUGUUAUCACGGGAGACACACGGCGGGUGCUAACGUCCGUCGUGAAGAGGGAAACAACCCAGACCGCCAGCUAAGGUCCCAAAGUCAUGGUUAAGUGGGAAACGAUGUGGGAAGGCACAGACAGCCAGGAUGUUGGCUUAGAAGCAGCCAUCAUUUAAAGAAAGCGUAAUAGCUCACUGGUCGAGUCGGCCUGCGCGGAAGAUGUAACGGGGCUAAACCAUGCACCGAAGCUGCGGCAGCGACACUAUGUGUUGUUGGGUAGGGGAGCGUUCUGUAAGCCGUUGAAGGUGGCCUGUGAGGGUUGCUGGAGGUAUCAGAAGUGCGAAUGCUGACAUAAGUAACGAUAAUGCGGGUGAAAAGCCCGCACGCCGGAAGACCAAGGGUUCCUGUCCAACGUUAAUCGGGGCAGGGUGAGUCGACCCCUAAGGCGAGGCCGAAAGGCGUAGUCGAUGGGAAACAGGUUAAUAUUCCUGUACUUGGUGUUACUGCGAAGGGGGGACGGAGAAGGCUAUGUUAGCCGGGCGACGGUUGUCCCGGUUUAAGCAUGUAGGCGGAGAGUUUAGGUAAAUCCGGACUCUUUUUAACGCUGAGGUGUGAUGACGAGGCACUACGGUGCUGAAGUAACAAAUGCCCUGCUUCCAGGAAAAGCCUCUAAGCAUCAGGUAACAUCAAAUCGUACCCCAAACCGACACAGGUGGUCAGGUAGAGAAUACCAAGGCGCUUGAGAGAACUCGGGUGAAGGAACUAGGCAAAAUGGUGCCGUAACUUCGGGAGAAGGCACGCUGAUAUGUAGGUGAAGCCCCUGCGGGUGGAGCUGAAAUCAGUCGAAGAUACCAGCUGGCUGCAACUGUUUAUUAAAAACACAGCACUGUGCAAACACGAAAGUGGACGUAUACGGUGUGACGCCUGCCCGGUGCCGGAAGGUUAAUUGAUGGGGUUAGCGGCAACGCGAAGCUCUUGAUCGAAGCCCCGGUAAACGGCGGCCGUAACUAUAACGGUCCUAAGGUAGCGAAAUUCCUUGUCGGGUAAGUUCCGACCUGCACGAAUGGCGUAAUGAUGGCCAGGCUGUCUCCACCCGAGACUCAGUGAAAUUGAACUCGCUGUGAAGAUGCAGUGUACCCGCGGCAAGACGGAAAGACCCCGUGAACCUUUACUAUAGCUUGACACUGAACACUGGUCCUUGAUGUGUAGGAUAGGUGGGAGGCUUUGAAGUGUGGACGCCAGUCUGCAUGGAGCCAUCCUUGAAAUACCACCCUUUAAUGGCUGGUGUUCUAACGUAGACCCGUAAUCCGGGUUGCGGACAGUGUCUGGUGGGUAGUUUGACUGGGGCGGUCUCCUCCCAAAGAGUAACGGAGGAGCACGAAGGUUAGCUAAUCCUGGUCGGACAUCAGGAGGUUAGUGCAAUGGCAUAAGCUAGCUUGACUGCGAGAGUGACGGCUCGAGCAGGUGCGAAAGCAGGUCAUAGUGAUCCGGUGGUUCUGAAUGGAAGGGCCAUCGCUCAACGGAUAAAAGGUACUCCGGGGAUAACAGGCUGAUACCGCCCAAGAGUUCAUAUCGACGGCGGUGUUUGGCACCUCGAUGUCGGCUCAUCACAUCCUGGGGCUGAAGUAGGUCCCAAGGGUACGGCUGUUCGCCGUUUAAAGUGGUACGCGAGCUGGGUUUAGAACGUCGUGAGACAGUUCGGUCCCUAUCUGCCGUGGGCGCUGGAGAAUUGAGGGGGGCUGCUCCUAGUACGAGAGGACCGGAGUGGACGCAUCACUGGUGUUCGGGUUGUCAUGCCAAUGGCAUUGCCCGGUAGCUAAAUGCGGAAAAGAUAAGUGCUGAAAGCAUCUAAGCACGAAACUUGCCCCGAGAUGAGUUCUCCCUGACCCUUUAAGGGUCCUGAAGGAACGUUGAAGACGACGACGUUGAUAGGUCGGGUGUGUAAGCGUAGCGAUACGUUGAGCUAACCGAUACUAAUGAACCGUGAGGCUUAACCUU
This 2905-nucleotide ribosomal RNA is filed under the name Enterobacter sp. CP102. RNAcentral describes it as "23S ribosomal RNA". It matches the Rfam family "Bacterial large subunit ribosomal RNA". Lineage: Bacteria; Pseudomonadati; Pseudomonadota; Gammaproteobacteria; Enterobacterales; Enterobacteriaceae. The record is from RNAcentral.